UUUAAUACUUGAAUGCAAAUGGACAUGCAGAAAUGUGGUAGACAGCAGUGUGUUGAUGUAGGAUUGAGGCAGUGCAGAUUGGUCACAAACAAUGCUGUGUAAUGGCCUGCAGGAAAUGUUUUUCUCUUAUGAUAGUGUGUAAUGGCUUAAACUGUAAUGAAGGGCAAAACAUUAAGGCUCUAGGAAUGAGAAGUUUGCAUGCAGAUUGUGUGGCAUCUGCUGCACCUAUCAGCUAAUUGUCUUUCAGCUACUAUGCACCUGGAGAAACAAAUACCAGGAGACUAUGAAAACCAUAGGAGGUGGCACUCUAGACCACAGAGGCACUCCUUUAGUUACUCUUGGAGCACGGCGUUGAAAAUGGAGGUGCACUACCCUCUGUGUUCUCUGCAGCCAUUAACUUGGAUGCUCUUGGCUCUGAGGCCUCUUGCAGAAAGGUCCAGGCUCUUCUAACGUGGUUGGGUUUAGUUCAGAGGACGCCACUGUCCUUUUGACAUAGUUUACCCUGAAGUUGAGAAUUCAUCUUGGUUUUUGUUAUGUUUGAGAGAACUUUACCUGAGUUGGUAGUUCAGCUUUGGAAUUGUGUCAUAUUGAUGUCAACUGUGAUUUACAAGUAAGCACUAAUGUUUGUAUCAGUAAUAUUUUUUAAAAACAAACAUCCUGGAAAUAGCUGUAAAUGUAUUCCUCAUUCAGGUGUAGAGGUUGGUAGGAACUGAAAAUUUAUUGUUCUUGCAAUGGCAGUUGUUAAAAUCAGAUUUACUUACAGGUAAACUUGACCAAUAGCGUGGAUGAACCUUUAUGUGCUCAUGUCUGUUCUGUGUCUCUGAAUUAAAAUACCACCAGUAUAUAUAUUUGGCUGUAGCUGACAGCCAGAGAGACCUUUCUUGAUGUAAACAAGUGAGGUGAAGGAAUCCUGUAAGCAGGAUUCUGUGUUAUAGUGUUUGUAUAUAUAUAUAUUACCCUUCUCUUCCCUUUAUUGAAGAGGCAAUAACUUUAAAGUGAUCAGUUUUUGAAGUGCAGUGUAAACGUAGAUUUCAAGUAAUGCAGUUAGAACACAUGGUGUGAAUGUCUGAACUGGAAUGUGGCUUGUUGGAGAGCAAAUAAUGUUUGCUGUGUGUCUGAUCUGUGCUGACUGUUUCUCCAGGGCUGAGAAAGGGGUUAAGGGAGACUAAUGAGCGUAUGGAUCUAGCUUUUGCUUCCCAAAUAUGUUACAGACACUCUUCCUCACUUACAGAGGGUCAUUCAAGUUACCUUUUGUGUGUGUGUGCUCAACUUGAAGCAGGAAUUUUGGCUGAACAAAAGGAAGGAGAAUCCCAGAACAUUUUCCAGAAACUUGAGAGAAACCAACUUCUCUGCCUCAACAGCCAUUAUUAACUUGUUUUUUUCCAAGCCAAAUGCUAAAAAAUUGUGACUCAGAAAAGAGGUUCCCUGUGCUCUCCUUGUCAGUGAGAAGUACUGUAUAGCCUAUACAUCUUUUGAAGGACCCCAGUUUCCUUGAGACCUGGUUAAGAAUAAGACUUGGGUUUUUAAGUGUUUGAUUGCCUUGCUACUGCCCAAGUCAUGACGCUCCCAUUUCGAAAGGACUUGGACAAGUACAAAGAUCUUGAUGAGGAUGAGAUUCUUGGCAAACUUUCAGAAGAAGAACUGAAACAACUGGAAACUGUUUUGGAUGAUCUUGACCCUGAGAACGAGCUCCUACCCGCAGGCUUCCGACAGAAAGACCAGACGGCUAAAAAGGCCUCGGGCCCCUUCGACAGGGAACGACUCCUUGCCUAUUUGGAGAAGCAGGCUCUUGAGCACAAAGACAGGGAAGACUAUGUGCCUUUUACCAGAGAAAAGAAAGGGAAAAUAUUUAUCCCCAAGCAGAAGCCUGUCCAGUCUUACACAGAAGAUAAAUUCUCUCUUGAUCCAGAACUGGAGGAAGCCUUGACCAGUGCCACAGACACAGAAUUAGGUGACCUUGCAGCUAUACUGGGCAUGUCCAACUUGAUAACAAACAAUCAGUUCUGUGAUGUAGUAGGAAGCAGUAAUGGGAUUGACAAAGACAGCUUCUCAAAUAUAGUAAAAGGUGAAAAAAUGUUGCCUGUUUUUGAUGAGCCACCAAAUCCCACCAAUGUGGAGGAGACACUGCAGAGGAUUAAAGAUAAUGAUUCUCGUCUUGUUGAAGUGAAUCUAAAUAACAUUAAGAACAUACCAAUUCCAACGCUGAAAGAAUUUGCAAAAGCCUUAGAAACCAACAAGCAUGUGAAGAGUUUCAGCCUUGCAGCCACCCGAAGCAAUGACCCUGUUGCUGUUGCCCUUGCAGAUAUGCUGAGAGUAAACACAAAAUUAAAAAGUUUAAACAUAGAAUCAAAUUUCAUCACUGGAGUUGGAAUUUUGGCACUGGUCGAUGCACUGAAAGACAAUGAAACAUUGACAGAGAUCAAAAUUGACAAUCAGAGGCAGCAGCUGGGCACACUUGCAGAAGUAGAAAUUGCCAAGAUGCUUGAAGAAAACACCAAGAUCCUCAAAUUUGGAUACCAUUUCACACAACAGGGACCUCGAGCCAGGGCAGCUGCAGCUAUCACAAAAAAUAAUGAUUUGGUCUGGACUGUGCGAGUUAAAGUUUCUUCAAAUACCUUUUCACCUCUCCAGCCCUGAAGCUCCAGAGACAGGUUACUCUGAAUUCCCAGCUGGGUGCUGAGCACUGAAAACAGAUGUUCAAAGUCUCUCAUUUCUGCCUUUUUCGCAAGAGAAGGGUUGAAGGAGACAACUAGCAGAUCUUGUUGUCAGACCUGUGUGGAGAUUUCAAGGGUUGUCAAGGCAUGUUCAUCACUGUGGGCUUUGGCAUUCCUGGACUGCAUUUACCUGGGUUAGAAGGGAAAAGACUGGAAACCCCAUUCCUUUUAAAGCAAAGCUCUGUCAGUUAUCUGCUGGUAGGCGUCAGGUUUUUCAGAUUGAGACACAGUAACUGCUCCAGUCUCUGUACCAUAGUUCUUGGUGGUUUUUUUAAGAACUUUUUUUGUAUUUCAAGACUUCGACUGUGUUUUCUACUAAAAAUGUAAUUACAAAUUAGUGGUAUGAUUGUCUGUAGUCAAAGAAUGGAACAUUCAAUCCUUGGGCUGAUAAUGACUCAAUUGAAAUGUUUGUUAGAAAAAUCUGGGGGUGCUUAUUUACAUUGAGGGGUGUGUAUAUUACUGAGAACAAUGCAUUAGUUAUAAGGGAUUCUUCACACAACAGUUGGGCUCAUUGUGUAGAGCUGUUCAGCCUUGUUCAUAUGCACUGAAGAGAAAUCUUUCACAGCUAUCUUAUUUGUAAUUCUACUUGUAAAAAUUUGUAUUAGUUCUUGAUACUGUGAUUAAGUUCAAGGAGAUCCCUUUAAACCAAACAAAAAUAAAUUGGCUAAGGAGUUCUCCCAAGAGAUUUAAGGGACUAAUAAAAAAGUGGAAGCCUUGCAAAAAAAAAAAAAAAAAUAGUAGAAACCUUUCCAAAUGACAGUUUCUCUAUUACACCUAAAUCCUUAAGGUCUUUUUCAAAGGAUUGGAUAGCUGCAUCUUGCCCUUGCCCUGUAUCUAAACUGGAUAUGUUUUUAGACUGAUUACAUGUCUUCAUCAACAUUAUUUAGUCUUUAUUCUUUGUUUAAAAAUCCUUAUCUACAUUCAUAAGUAUCAAUUUUUUUAGAAGUAGUGGACAUGCAUUUGUUAAAUUCUGCAUAAAGCUCUAGAGGAACAGCAGCCUUAACUGUAAAACCACUGCCCUAAGUUGAUGGAAAAUGAAAAAAUCACUUUUUUCAAGCUAUUGCAUUAAGCUAUUAGUACUUCAUAUAAAUUUAUCAUUUUUUAAUAAAGCAAUGAAGUAACAGUUUCAAGAAAUGAUUUUUCUAGUCCAGUUAUUUCUUGAUGUUGAAACAGUACAUAAGGCAUGCAGAAAUUAACCAAUAUGCAGUGUCAAAUAGUAAUAAAGUAUUUAAAGUUUAUUUAUCUAAGCAAACUCAUAAGUCAACAAGACUCACUUCAACUUCUGUACAUCAUCACAGUAGAGUACUUUGAAAUAAUAGGAAAAUCUAGAGGCUUUUUGGUGUAGGUCUGAUUGCACUAGAAUGGUUUGCUCAAUAUCAUGAGAUCAUAAACUCUCAAAAAUGUUCUUAAGGGCUGCUGGGCUAUAUUCAUAGCAACAGAGAAUUCAACUGACAACUGUUUUCUUGAAGGAUCAUAAUAUGGUGAGCAUCUUAUGUAUAGAAAACAUAUUGGACUGAAAUUUUUGCAUCAGGUUGUAUAUACUAUAGCAAUUUCCCAGAGCAACUCUGACACUGUGCCCAUGGUGUCGUUUGCUGCAAAUCUUUUGGAUCUUCAAAACUAGGCUUUGCUCUGGGAGUGGCUUAGAAUUCUACUGCAACUGUACAGAUAAUUUGAAACUACAGUGCCUUCAGUGAGGAUGUAUAUAACUGGCUUAUACUUGUGGAAGAACAUUUGUUUUUCCUAUUUCAAAAUCAGCUUUUUAUUACAACUACAAAUAGAUAUGUGCUGUGCAAAGCAAGUCAGAAUUAAUUCUGUUGAAACCAAAGACUAUCCAUACUGUAACUUUGAAACAACUAGCAGUGAUCUGACUGGUAAUAAAACGAGCUUCUUUUGGUUUUAA
RNA transcript from Apus apus (common swift), 4614 nucleotides. It is a transcript of the gene named tropomodulin-3-like, with no coding region annotated. The record is from RefSeq and is a predicted model, not a curated record. The transcript has 11 exons. Lineage: Eukaryota; Metazoa; Chordata; Aves; Apodiformes; Apodidae.